AUUGAACGCUGGCGGCAUGCUUUACACAUGCAAGUCGAACGGUAACAGGCCUUCGGGUGCUGACGAGUGGCGAACGGGUGAGUAAUGCAUCGGAACGUACCCAGAGGUGGGGGAUAACGCAGCGAAAGCUGUGCUAAUACCGCAUGUGAUCUGAGGAUGAAAGCGGGGGACCGAGCAGCAAUGUUUGGCCUCGCGCCUUUGGAGCGGCCGAUGUCGGAUUAGCUAGUUGGUGGGGUAAAGGCCUACCAAGGCGACGAUCCGUAGCUGGUCUGAGAGGACGACCAGCCACACUGGGACUUGGACACGGCCCAGACCCCUAAGGGAGGGAGGAGUGGGGAAAUUUGGACAAUGGGCGCAAGCCUGAUCCAGGAAAGGCGGGUGGGGGAAAGAGGCCUUCGGGUUGUAAACCGCUUUUGGGAGGAACGAAACGGUGGCCGCUAAUACCGGGCGCUAAUGACGGUACCUGCAGAAUAAGCACCGGCUAACUACGUG
Molecule: ribosomal RNA, 492 nt
Filed under: uncultured bacterium
Lineage: Bacteria
Description: partial 16S ribosomal RNA
Rfam family: Bacterial small subunit ribosomal RNA
Source: RNAcentral